Molecule: ribosomal RNA, 339 nt
Filed under: uncultured bacterium
Lineage: Bacteria
Description: bacterial SSU rRNA
Rfam family: Bacterial small subunit ribosomal RNA
Source: RNAcentral
AACGAACGCUGGCGGCGUGGAUAAGACAUGCAAGUCGAGCGCAAUUUAUUUUGUAGCAAUACAGAGUAAGUUGAGCGGCGCAAGGGUGCGUAACACGUGGGCAAUUUGCCAUAAAGUUGGGGAUAACUUGCUGAAAGGCGAGCUAAUACCGAAUGUAGUUAUUGGGAGGCAUCUCCUGGUGACUAAAGUUGGGGAUCGCAAGACCUGACGCUUUAUGAUGAGCCCGCGGCCUAUCAGCUAGUUGGUGAGGUAACGGCUCACCAAGGCUAAGACGGGUAGCUGGUCUGAGAGGACGACCAGCCACACUGGAACUGAGACACGGUCCAGACACCUACGGGU